RNAcentral lists this ribosomal RNA (454 nucleotides) under uncultured bacterium. RNAcentral's name for it is "partial 16S ribosomal RNA". It matches the Rfam family "Bacterial small subunit ribosomal RNA", at positions 28 to 507 of the family's 1533-position model. The record is from RNAcentral.
GAUGAACGCUGACCGAAUGCUUAACACAUGCAAGUCCACUUGAACUUCGGUUUGGGUGGCGGACGGGUGAGUAACGCGUAAAGAACUUGCCUCACAGUUAGGGACAACAUUUGGAAACGAAUGCUAAUACCUGAUAUUAUGAUUUUAGGGCAUCCUAGAAUUAUGAAAGCUAUAUGCGCUGUGAGAGAGCUUUGCGUCCCAUUAGCUAGUUGGAGAGGUAACGGCUCACCAAGGCGAUGAUGGGUAGCCGGCCUGAGAGGGUGAACGGCCACAAGGGGACUGAGACACGGCCCUUACUCCUACGGGAGGCAGCAGUGGGGAAUAUUGGACAAUGGACCAAGAGUCUGAUCCAGCAAUUCUGUGUGCACGAUGAAGUUUUUCGGAAUGUAAAGUGCUUUCAGUUGGGAAGAAAAAAAUGACGAUACCAACAGAAGGAGUGACGGCUAAAUACGUG